CUAGCCUUAAAAUUUAAGCCAUGCAUGUCUAGUAUAAGCAAUUUAUACAGUGAAACUGCGAAUGGCUCAUUAAAUCAGUUAUCGUUUAUUUGAUAGUUCCUUUACUACAUGGUAUAACUGUGGUAAUUCUAGAGCUAAUACAUGCUUAAAAUCUCGACCCUUUGGAAGAGAUGUAUUUAUUAGAUAAAAAAUCAAUGUCUUCGGACUCUUUGAUGAUUCAUAAUAACUUUUCGAAUCGCAUGGCCUUGUGCUGGCGAUGGUUCAUUCAAAUUUCUGCCCUAUCAACUUUCGAUGGUAGGAUAGUGGCCUACCAUGGUUUCAACGGGUAACGGGGAAUAAGGGUUCGAUUCCGGAGAGGGAGCCUGAGAAACGGCUACCACAUCCAAGGAAGGCAGCAGGCGCGCAAAUUACCCAAUCCUAAUUCAGGGAGGUAGUGACAAUAAAUAACGAUACAGGGCCCAUUCGGGUCUUGUAAUUGGAAUGAGUACAAUGUAAAUACCUUAACGAGGAACAAUUGGAGGGCAAGUCUGGUGCCAGCAGCCGCGGUAAUUCCAG
Molecule: ribosomal RNA, 555 nt
Filed under: Saccharomyces cerevisiae (brewer's yeast)
Lineage: Eukaryota; Fungi; Ascomycota; Saccharomycetes; Saccharomycetales; Saccharomycetaceae
Description: SSU rRNA
Rfam family: Eukaryotic small subunit ribosomal RNA
Source: RNAcentral